GCACCGGCUAACUCCGUGCCAGCAGCCGCGGUAAUACGGAGGGUGCAAGCGUUAAUCGGAAUUACUGGGCGUAAAGCGCACGCAGGCGGUCUGUCAAGUCGGAUGUGAAAUCCCCGGGCUUAACCUGGGAACUGCAUUCGAAACUGGCAGGCUAGAGUCUUGUAGAGGGGGGUAGAAUUCCAGGUGUAGCGGUGAAAUGCGUAGAGAUCUGGAGGAAUACCGGUGGCGAAGGCGGCCCCCU
RNAcentral lists this ribosomal RNA (241 nucleotides) under Klebsiella pneumoniae subsp. pneumoniae. Its description in RNAcentral is "partial 16S ribosomal RNA". It matches the Rfam family "Bacterial small subunit ribosomal RNA", at positions 490 to 730 of the family's 1533-position model. Lineage: Bacteria; Pseudomonadati; Pseudomonadota; Gammaproteobacteria; Enterobacterales; Enterobacteriaceae. The record is from RNAcentral.